RNAcentral lists this ribosomal RNA (481 nucleotides) under uncultured bacterium. RNAcentral's name for it is "bacterial SSU rRNA". It matches the Rfam family "Bacterial small subunit ribosomal RNA", at positions 30 to 507 of the family's 1533-position model. The record is from RNAcentral.
AUUGAACGCUGGCGGAAUGCUUUACACAUGCAAGUCGAACGGUAGAGGGGGCAACCCUCGAGAGUGGCGAACGGGUGAGUAAUAUAUCGGAACGUGCCCAGUCGUGGGGGAUAACGUAGCGAAAGUUACGCUAAUACCGCAUACGAUCUACGGAUGAAAGCGGGGGACUCGCAAGAGCCUCGCGCGAUUGGAGCGGCCGAUAUCAGAUUAGGUAGUUGGUGGGGUAAAGGCUCACCAAGCCAACGAUCUGUAGCUGGUCUGAGAGGACGACCAGCCACACUGGAACUGAGACACGGUCCAGACUCCUACGGGAGGCAGCAGUGGGGAAUUUUGGACAAUGGACGCAAGUCUGAUCCAGCCAUUCCGCGUGCAGGAUGAAGGCCCUCGGGUUGUAAACUGCUUUUGUACGGAACGAAAAGGUUUCUAUUAAUACUAGGAGCUCAUGACGGUACCGUAAGAAUAAGCACCGGCUAACUACGUG